This 253-nucleotide ribosomal RNA is filed under the name uncultured bacterium. RNAcentral's name for it is "partial 16S ribosomal RNA". It matches the Rfam family "Bacterial small subunit ribosomal RNA", at positions 524 to 776 of the family's 1533-position model. The record is from RNAcentral.
UACAGAGGGUGCGAGCGUUAAUCGGAAUUACUGGGCGUAAAGCGCGCGUAGGCGGUUUUGCAAGCCGGAUGUGAAAUCCCCGGGCUUAACCUGGGAACUGCAUUCGGGACUGCAUUGCUAGAGUAUGGGAGAGGGAAGUGGAAUUUCAGGUGUAGCGGUGAAAUGCGUAGGGAUCAUGAGGAAGACCAGUGGCGAAGGCGGGUCUCUGGACAGUUCCUGACACUGAGACACGAAGGCCAGGGGAGCAAACGGG